AGUCAAUAGAUACCCCGGUAGUCCACGCCGUAAACGAUGAGUACUAGGUGUAGGAGGUAUCGACUCCUUCUGUGCCGCAGUUAAACACAAUAAGUACUCCGCCUGGGAAGUACGGUCGCAAGAUUAAAACUCAAAGGAAUUGACGGGGGCCGUGCACAAGCAGCGGAGCAUGUGGUUUAAUUCGAAGCAACGCGAAGAACCUUACCUAGACUUGACAUCUCCUGAAUAGUGUAGAGAUACAUGAAGCCCUUCGGGGUCGAGGAAGACAGGUGGUGCAUGGUUGUCGUCAGCUCGUGUCGUGAGAUGUUGGGUUAAGUCCCGCAACGAGCGCAACCCUUAUUACUAGUUGCUACCAUUAAGUUGAGCACUCUAGUGAGACUGCCC
Molecule: ribosomal RNA, 384 nt
Filed under: uncultured bacterium
Lineage: Bacteria
Description: bacterial SSU rRNA
Rfam family: Bacterial small subunit ribosomal RNA
Source: RNAcentral